UUAGUUAAAGCCAAAAAGAGGCAUUUUAUUGUUAAUAAAAAAAAUGAGAAAUUUCUCUAGCUAUU
This 65-nucleotide transfer RNA is filed under the name Dendrothrips minowai. RNAcentral describes it as "tRNA-Asn". The record is from RNAcentral. Lineage: Eukaryota; Metazoa; Arthropoda; Insecta; Thysanoptera; Thripidae.